ACUCGAGACGGCGGGGUAGAGGCCCGCCGCGGUAACGACGGGUAACGGGGGAAUCAGGGUUCGAUUCCGGAGAGGGAGCCCGAGAAACGGCUACCACUUCCAAGGAAGGCAGCAGGCGCGCAACUUACCCUAAUCUCGAUUCGAGGAGGUAGUGACAAGAAAUACCGAUGCGGGACCCUACGGGUGCCGCGUUCGGAAUGAGUACGAUUCGAACCACCUAACGAGGAACGAUCGGAGGGCAAGUCUGGUGCCAGCAGCCGCGGUAAUUCCAGCUCCAAUAGCGUACGUUAAAGUUGCUGCAGUUAAAAAGCUCGUAGUUGAACGUUCGGGUUCCGCGGGACGGGGCCGCCCCGCGAGGGACGGCGCCGCCCCGGGGCUCGUGAUAUCUCAUCUCGCCGCCCGUCGCGAGGCGGACGGAGGGAUGGAUGAGGUUACCUGGAAAAAAUCGGG
This 450-nucleotide ribosomal RNA is filed under the name uncultured eukaryote. RNAcentral's name for it is "bacterial SSU rRNA". It matches the Rfam family "Eukaryotic small subunit ribosomal RNA", at positions 318 to 770 of the family's 1831-position model. The record is from RNAcentral.